RNAcentral lists this ribosomal RNA (459 nucleotides) under uncultured bacterium. Its description in RNAcentral is "partial 16S ribosomal RNA". It matches the Rfam family "Bacterial small subunit ribosomal RNA", at positions 338 to 795 of the family's 1533-position model. The record is from RNAcentral.
CCUACGGGUGGCAGCAGUGAGGAAUAUUGGUCAAUGGACGAGAGUCUGAACCAGCCAAGUAGCGUGAAGGAUGACUGCCCUAUGGGUUGUAAACUUCUUUUAUAAAGGAAUAAAACGAGGCACGUGUGCCUUUUUGCAUGUACUUUAUGAAUAAGGAUCGGCUAACUCCGUGCCAGCAGCCGCGGUAAUACGGAGGAUCCGAGCGUUAUCCGGAUUUAUUGGGUUUAAAGGGUGCGUAGGCGGUUUUUUAAGUUAGUGGUUAAACGUCGGGGCUUCACCUUGAUUUGCCAUUAAUACUGUAAGACUCGAGUUCAGACGAGGUAGGCGGAAUAAGUUAAGUAGCGGUGAAAUGCUUAGAUAUAACUUAGAACUCCGAUAGCGAAGGCAGCUUACCAGACUGCAACUGACGCUGAGGCUCGAAAGCGUGGGGAGCAAACAGGAUUAGAUACCCUGGUAGUC